ACGUCAACAACAAACUGUAUCUCACAGACUGUGGAGCAAGCAGAAUAAAGGAUCUUGCACAGGCCACUUGGUCCAGUUACGAGGAUGUUGGAGGCCCACAAUGCACAUACAAAGAAGGAAUCAGAUAUCCAAGUGAGCUGAGCUUGAAAAUGUUCAUUUAAAUGUAAUUAAUGAUGCUAUUUUGAUCCAUGACCACUAAGAUUGGAUUUCUCAAAUGUAAUAAUAUAAAUAUACCAUUUCAAGUUGUCCUGCUUAGUCAUUCUCAUUCUCUACAGUUUGACUAGGUAAAUGCAAGUAGUUUAAUGUGAAGAGCGAUUUUGGUGACUCCUAGUUGACAUUAUUUCAAUUUCUCCCAUUACAUUUUAGGUAGCGGGGUGCUUGGUGCAUUACAUAUACUACAGACUAUAUAUAUACUACAAUAUUACAGACUGAUGGGCAACAUCCCUAUCAAACCAGAAGACCCUACUCCAGUGAUCCACUUCGGCUGGCUCAAAAUGUCAAAACAGGCAACUUCACUCUUCAUUUUGAAGAAAAAUGGAGGAGCCUGAAGGAUAUUAUUACCAGAAUGCUGAAUAGCUCAUUUGAAAAACGUCCAACCAUUGGGGAAUGCCUUCAGGUUUUCACAUGUUUCACACAACAGUCCGGUUACAGGGGAACCACAACCAACACCGGCAGCGUGAAUAUAAAUGAAGUGAGUACAUACAUGACCACUGAGAAGUUUACCCUGUCCCUGGAAAUGUCAGAUAAAGAGGAACAGGAACAACAAGCAGAAGCAGAAAAGUCUUCUGACACUGAAGAGGAAUUAUCUGUGCGUGAAAUAAUCACAGAGCAGCGGUUGGAAAUGACGAAUAAAGAGCAGGAACGACAAGCAGAAGCAGACACUUCUUCCACCCCAACAGAUGAAUUACUUGUGUGUGAAAUGGACACGGAGCAACAACUUCCCCUUUCCCAUGAAAUGUCAGAUGACGAUAAACAACAAGCUGAAGAGGAAACAGCAGAAAAGGAAAUAAUUCGAGGACCACCUUCAAAAACCCCAAUGCCGAUGGAUCAAAAUACCCAUGACCUUCAACAAAAUAGUAUCCAAGUGAAAACUUCGUCAAACAGUCAACAUCAGCAGAUCUAUGACAAGAAAAAUGUCUGCCUGUACUGUCAGCGGCCAUAUGCAAAAAUUACAAGACAUCUAAAACAGAAGCAUCAGGAUAAACCUGAAGUGGCAAAGGCACUUGCACACAGGCAAGGUUCAGCCAUGCGCAAUCUUCUUUUGAGCAAAAUGAGGAACCUUGGAAACUACAACCACAACUAUUCAGUCAUGGAAUCUGGGAAAGGACAAAUUGUACCUAAAAGGCAAGCAACCUGUAAAUCAACAGCAACAGACUACCUGCCUUGCAAGUUUUGCUUUGCUAUGUACCUCAAAACAGACCUCUGGAGACACCUAAAGCGGUGCAAACUGCAAGUGAAAGAGGAUGGUCCAGUGAACAGACGACUCCAGACAUCCUGUUCCCUGAUGUUGCCCAUGGAUGCUUCAGUUUCCAGUGGAUUUAAAAAAGUCCUUGAGCAGAUGGCAUAUGACACAGUAACCCAAGUGGUGAAAUCUGACACUCUGAUUCUUUCACUAGGAGAGAGAAUGUUCUCCAAAAAUGGAGAAAAUGUGAGACAAUGGUCAGACAUUGGAAACAAGAUGAGGGAACUCGCAAGACUUCUUGUGGCAGCAAGACAGAUUGAUGAAGACAUUGUCUUUUUGAAGGACUUGAUCAGCCCAGUAAAGUUUAACACAGUACUUGAGAAAGAAAAUGACUGGGUUUGA
RNAcentral lists this long non-coding RNA (1804 nucleotides) under Sparus aurata (gilthead seabream). Its description in RNAcentral is "lncRNA (ENSSAUG00010024959.1)". The record is from RNAcentral. Lineage: Eukaryota; Metazoa; Chordata; Actinopteri; Spariformes; Sparidae.